RNAcentral lists this ribosomal RNA (253 nucleotides) under uncultured bacterium. RNAcentral's name for it is "partial 16S ribosomal RNA". It matches the Rfam family "Bacterial small subunit ribosomal RNA", at positions 524 to 776 of the family's 1533-position model. The record is from RNAcentral.
UACGUAGGGGGCAAGCGUUGUCCGGAUUUAUUGGGCGUAAAGAGCGUGUAGGCGGUUAGGUAGGUCCGUUGUGAAAACUCGAGGCUCAACCUCGAGACGCCGAUGGAAACCAUCUAACUAGAGUCCGGAAGAGGAGAGUGGAAUUCCUGGUGUAGCGGUGAAAUGCGCAGAUAUCAGGAGGAACACCUGUGGUGUAGACAGCUUACUGGACCAUUUCUGACGCUGAGACACGAAAGCGUGGGUAGCAAACAGG